RNA transcript from Phacochoerus africanus (Common warthog), 1744 nucleotides. It is a transcript of the gene named apolipoprotein B mRNA editing enzyme catalytic subunit 2, with no coding region annotated. NCBI's taxonomy places the organism in Eukaryota, Metazoa, Chordata, Mammalia, Artiodactyla, Suidae. The record is from RefSeq and is a predicted model, not a curated record. The transcript has 4 exons.
AGGGGACUGAGCACACUCGGCCUGGCCUGCGGGUCCUCUUCCCGUCGCCGACAGCCCCACGCCCAGGGCAGAUUUAGCUGCUGACAGCUGCUUGGGACUCUGCCGCCAGGCCUUGGCCCAGACCCGCCGCCGCCGCCUCCCCUCUCCUCUCGGGGACUCCUGAGCACGGCCCCUCCAUGGCCCAGAAGGAAGAGGCCGCUGCGGCUGAGGCACCUGCCUCCCAGAAUGGUGAGGAGCUGGACAACCUGGAUGACCCCGAGAAGCUGAAGGAGCUGAUCGAGCUGCCGCCCUUUGAGAUCGUCACGGGGGAGCGGCUGCCUGUCAACUUCUUUAAGUUUCAGUUCCGGAAUGUGGAGUACAGCUCCGGGCGGAACAAGACCUUCCUCUGCUACGUGAUCGAAGCGCAGAGCAAGGGAGGCCAAGUGCAGGCGACGCGGGGGUACCUGGAGGAUGAGCACGCGGCCGCCCACGCGGAGGAAGCCUUCUUCAACACGAUCCUGCCCGCCUUCGACCCGGCCGUGCGCUACGUGGUCACCUGGUACGUGUCCUCCAGCCCCUGCGCGGCCUGCGCGGACCGCAUCAUCAAAACCCUCAACAAGGCCAAGAACCUGCGCCUGCUCAUCCUGGUGGGGCGGCUCUUCAUGUGGGAGGAGCCCGAGAUCCAGGCGGCUCUGAGGAGGCUGAAGGAGGCCGGCUGCAGGCUGCGCAUCAUGAAGCCCCAGGACUUCGAGUACGUCUGGCAGAAUUUUGUGGAGCAAGAGGAGGGCGAAUCCAAGGCCUUUGAGCCCUGGGAGGACAUUCAGGAGAACUUCCUGUACUACGAGGAGAAGUUGGCGGACAUCCUCAAGUAGGCGGACUGGGCCCAGCCUCACAGUCAUGGGCCACUUCUUCCAGCUGCCAAGCUAGCAAGACCUCAAAGAUGUGUGUGUCGGCCUGCUGCCAAGAGACAGCAAUGACACAUGUGGCCAUCUGGGACGUGCCUGACUUCCCAAUAGCACUUGGAGCUGGACAACAUUCAACACCAACCAAUCCUACUGCACAAGGCCCUCAGAGGACUCCAAAUACACUUAUGCUGUAAAUCAUUGACGCUGCGCCUCUCUCUCUAAGGCUGCUCUUGGGAAAGAGGCAAGCGAGCUGAGAGGAGAGAAAUGGCAACCACACACGGGCACCAGGCAUCCGUGGGGCUGAAGGUCCUCCUUAUUCCCCUGACUGGGCUGCUUACGGCAAAAAGCCUCAAAGAUGUGCAAAGUCUGCACAUCUUUGAAAUAUGUCCAGAAAUGCAUCCGAUGUUAAGUUGGGGUUGUUUUUUUUUUUUAAAGAAAAACAGCAACAUUAAUAAAAAAAAGGUGGUGUGGUCUUUCUGUGACCAGCUUUUUUAAGGAACUUGGACAUUUAGGAAUUACUUUGGACAGUGAGCAAGUCUUGGGAAUAGGGCUGUCCCAGGCCAUGAACCAAGCCUAAACAACACAUAAAGGGGGAGGAAGACUUAAACCAGGACUUGCCUGGGUAACACAGGAUGUGCCAACUCUCCCAUCCACACUUCACACCUUGGUCUUGACCUUCAUAAAAUAUUUUCUUCCAAGAUCACUUGUAAAUGAGUGUCUUUUCCGUCCUCUGGAGACAAGGACUAUGGCAGAGGAUGGGACAAAAGGCAUUGGAAAUGCAGUAUAAGGUAUAUAAACAACCCCGACUGCCAAUUCAUAAGCACUUAGCCUUUUGAUUAAAGCGGAGAGGGUGAGAAGUA